UUUUAGCGGCGGACGGGUGAGUAACGUGUGGGCAACCUGCCUUUUACUGGGGAAUAAUCACUGGAAACGGUGACUAAUACCGCAUAAUAUUCUUGGAAGGCAUCUUCCGAGAAGGAAAGGAAAUAUUCGGUAAAAGAUGGGCCCGCAUCUGAUUAGCUAGUUGGUGAGAUAACAGCCCACCAAGGCGACGAUCAGUAGCCGACCUGAGAGGGUGACCGGCCACAUUGGGACUGAGACACGGCCCAAACUCCUACGGAAGGCAGCAG
RNAcentral lists this ribosomal RNA (266 nucleotides) under uncultured bacterium. Its description in RNAcentral is "partial 16S ribosomal RNA". It matches the Rfam family "Bacterial small subunit ribosomal RNA", at positions 90 to 354 of the family's 1533-position model. The record is from RNAcentral.